Long non-coding RNA from Diachasmimorpha longicaudata, 659 nucleotides. RefSeq lists it as uncharacterized. The transcript is spliced from 2 exons. The record is from RefSeq and is a predicted model, not a curated record. NCBI's taxonomy places the organism in Eukaryota, Metazoa, Arthropoda, Insecta, Hymenoptera, Braconidae.
UGCUGUAAUUUGUUUUUGGCAACAGCAGAAAAAUUGACAAAAUCAAUUCUUCGAUAGGCGAAUCACGACGAUGUCAUGGAAAAUAUUCUUCGUAUUUUCUGGAGACGCCUGUUCAAACUUCACAGAAUAUUCAAGCAACGCCGUUAAUCACGCAGUCAACAAUUCUGAAUUCUCCAUGUGAAUAAUCGUUUUCCUCAAUAAUAAUCACGCACACUGCGGAGCAUUUGUAAUGCAAAGUUUAUGGGCUGAUGCAGUUGCUGGAAAGAUUUUAUUCGAAGCAGUUCAUUAUUUUGGAACGAUGGCUGUCUUGGAGAUGCUGCUUCUGUUGGUGGGGUGUCUUGCGAUGAUUGAUGCCAUCACUCUAUGUUUGACCCACACUGACUGUAUGCGAGAUUGCAUGGGACCAUUUGUUCCUAUCUGCAUGUUGGGCCUCUGCACCUGUUCACCAAUUCUGUCCUGAAGUGGUGGCAAAUUCACCUGUUGUCGAAGCAAAUUCCAUUGGCAUUUUUCUUACUCAAGCAGAGGAUUAUUCUAAAACAUGCGGCACCUUUCAAUAUCCAAAUACUAAUUCUUGUUUUUUUUUUUAAAAGCUCCCUCCUGUGGAUAUGAUAUUAAAAAAAUGAUGAGUACGAAAUAAAUAUUUUUGAUCGAAACGUUAA